AUUGAACGCUGGCGGCAUGCCUUACACAUGCAAGUCGAACGGCAGCACGGGUGCUUGCACCUGGUGGCGAGUGGCGAACGGGUGAGUAAUACAUCGGCACAUGUCCUGUAGUGGGGGAUAGCCCGGCGAAAGCCGGAUUAAUACCGCAUACGAUCCACGGAUGAAAGCGGGGGACCUUCGGGCCUCGCGCUAUAGGGUUGGCCGAUGGCUGAUUAGCUCGUUGGUGGGGUAAAGGCCUACCAAGGCGACGAUCAGUAGCUGGUCUGAGAGGACGACCAGCCACACUGGGACUGAGACACGGCCCAGACUCCUACGGGAGGCAGCAGUGGGGAAUUUUGGACAAUGGGCGAAAGCCUGAUCCAGCAAUGCCGCGUGUGUGAAGAAGGCCUUCGGGUUGUAAAGCACUUUUGUCCGGAAAGAAAUCCUUGACUCUAAUACAGUCGGGGGAUGACGGUACCGGAAGAAUAAGCACCGGCUAACUACGUG
RNAcentral lists this ribosomal RNA (486 nucleotides) under uncultured bacterium. Its description in RNAcentral is "partial 16S ribosomal RNA". It matches the Rfam family "Bacterial small subunit ribosomal RNA", at positions 30 to 507 of the family's 1533-position model. The record is from RNAcentral.